Molecule: long non-coding RNA, 873 nt
Organism: Marmota monax (woodchuck)
Lineage: Eukaryota; Metazoa; Chordata; Mammalia; Rodentia; Sciuridae
Exons: 3
Source: RefSeq, a predicted model, not a curated record
GACUCAAGAGCAUCCAAGGGAAAAAAUCUGGAGAGAAGACUAGCAAGGAGUUUUAAGCUCCUGCCUGCAGUAGAACUGAUGUCCCUUCCCUUAAGCUUAUCAGAAGUUGCUGAUUAGCAUCUUAGGGAAAAGUGGAUGCAGUCCUAAAGGAACCCCUGCAGAAAUGGUGAAUGUCAGUUACCUGCACUGGUCAUUUGGAACCACUGAAAUACUUUUCUGUCAUCAGCCUGGAGCUCAUUCUAAGAGGCAGACCGUCACUCUGAGAUUUUUAGAAGUCAGAAUGAUUCUCAACGUCUUUGAGGCAGCAGCGAGUCCCCCAAUGAAGUGAAGUGGCAAAUCUAGGAUUACUCCAAACCCAAGUAGACAUUUUAAGACACCCUGAUUCACCCUGUGAGUUGUCAUUGGUGGAAGCAAGGCACGUUGAGAGCUGUGAGACAAGUUGAGUCGGGCUGGAAUGACUCAUAAGUGGCAGCUUGCUGGCUGGUGGAAGAGCAUCUUGCUGGGUCCUGUUGCUGUGGAGACGUAGUCAACGAGUCUCAACGUGGGCACAAGUGUCACCUUCCCACUUAGACAGAGGUGAGAACUCUGGGAGUAGGAUGGGGUUGGAGUUUGGGUAGGGGGCAAGGCCCAGGGGUGAGCUGCUUUAGUGAUUACAAGCCAGGGGAGCUCCCAUUCACUCUGAUACAUUUUUCUACUUUGUUAAAUAUUUAUAUUUAAAUAAACGAAAGCCAACAAUCUGUGACCAAUAUGAUCCUGUAUUUACACAUCUUGAUAAGACAAUUUGAACAUGAAAGGAUCAAAAAGAUGCAGUGAAUAAUUCUGUACAGACUAUGCACUAAUUUGAGAAACAGAUCAAUGUCACAUGAAAAUUUU